UAUUAAAGGUCCAACCUGCCCAGUGAAUAUUUCAACGGCCGCGGUAUCCUAACCGUGCAAAGGUAGCAUAAUCACUUGUCCCCUAAAUAGAGACUUGUAUGAACGGUUAAAUGAGGGCCUAACUGUCUCCUGCAGCUGAUCAAUGAAUUUGAGCUUACAGUACAAACACUGUAAUAUAACUAUAAGACGAGAAGACCCUGUGGAGCUUAAAGCUACUACAUUAACAUACUCCUCACCCAUAGUAGGUAUAAUGUAAACUUUAAGUUGGGGCGACUGUGGAGCAAAAAAAACCCUCCAUGAAACGCGACUAAAACUCGCUAUGCUAGGCCAACAAGCCUACCCAAAAAAUGAUCCAGUCAAACUGAUUAUCGAACCAAGUUACCCCAGGGAUAACAGCGCUAUCCCCUUAAAGAGUUCACAUCGCCAGGGGGGUUUACGACCUCGAUGUUGGAUCAGGACCCCCAAGUGGUGCAGCCGCUACUAAAGGUUCGUUUGUUCAACGAA
Molecule: ribosomal RNA, 504 nt
Filed under: Phelsuma inexpectata
Lineage: Eukaryota; Metazoa; Chordata; Lepidosauria; Squamata; Gekkonidae
Description: partial 16S ribosomal RNA
Rfam family: Bacterial large subunit ribosomal RNA
Source: RNAcentral